Zingiber officinale is the source of this 2192-nucleotide long non-coding RNA. RefSeq lists it as uncharacterized. Lineage: Eukaryota; Viridiplantae; Streptophyta; Magnoliopsida; Zingiberales; Zingiberaceae. The transcript has 3 exons. The record is from RefSeq and is a predicted model, not a curated record.
AAUAAGAGUUGAAUGAGAAUUUAACUUAGAGUUUAAUUAAAUUAAACCUAAGUUUUAUUUCUUUUUCUCCUUAUUUCUCUCCAGUCAUGCCGAAUCUUCUCCUCAUCUCCUCCGCGAUCUGGCUUCUCCCGAUUCACGGUCGUCGGCGCACUCCUCCCUUCCAAAUCUGCCACCAUUGUCUCCGAGCCAUCCCUUACGCGGGUCGUCUCUAGCCAAAAGCGGGGAGUCACUGCCGCCUUUCUCAUUGCUCCGGCGUCAUCGCCGAUGGGAAGGGAGGCUAUGAGGUCACUUCGUCGCAGUCGAUUCCACCUCUUCAGCCGAUGCCCUAGUCGACGAUCCACAACCGACGGAGCGUGCUGGAUAUCUGCUGGAAGUCGCCGAUCGCGUCGGAUCUGCGCUCGACAUCGCCACCGCUUCCCGAGCCCUAGAUUUGGUUCAUUGUCGCAACCUUCUUCUUGAUUUGAUUUCACCGUGGAUGUGGGUGAUCACCACCCAUUCUCUCCAGCCGAUCGUCGCGAAGCUUUGGAGACAUCUUGAGAGUUGAUCACCAACGCACCACUUCUAGCGACCACCCGAGUCGAUCUUGACAAAUAUGCUCCCUUGGGCAUCUUUGUCCCUUUGCUGAUGUUGUGCUAGCAAAUCAAGCAAUAGUCACUCUUCUUGUCGGUUGAUCCAUGGAAGGGAAACCCAUGCCACCACAAAUUGGGUUCUGUUCGAGUGCCACCUCCAAGGGGUGAUCAUUCAAGUGUGAUGUGGAUUUUUGUUGAAUCGAUCAUGGGUUUCAUCAGCGCAUCUUAUUGUUGGGGAUUCAGUGGGAGAAGAGGUGGCUGAUAUUGGAGGGUAGCGGUUUUACCUACUCAAACUAGCAAUACUGACAGUGAUUUUCUCCGGUUGUGAAGCAUCAGUUGAAGCUUCAUACUUGGGUGAGUUCGAAAGUUGAUUUCGUGUUUACAUUAGAUUGGAUUAGUGUGUUGAUUAGUGAGCUUUGGAUUGAUUAUGCUUGUAGUAAAUCUUAAUUGGAAGGGGAAAUGAUUGGGGAUGCUUAAUCUAUUUGGUUAUGAAUUAGAGAUCCAUUUGUGAGUUGAUUUCUCUAGUUAGGUUAAUUUGGAUGAUAGCAUGAUGAUUAUCAAGAUAUUAGAAGGAUUAAACCUAAUCUAGUGAAGGUUAUGUAUUGAGUUAAAUCUAACAGAAUUAAUGAGAUUUGUUAACUAUUAGAUUUAGGGUUAAUAAUUAAAAUAGAAUUAAUGUAUAGAUUCCUAAUCAGAUUAGGGUUCAGUUAACUAUUUGGUUCAUGAUGGAUUUAGCUAACUAGUUCAUACUUGAUUAGUUAUAUCAUACAUUAUAAAGGCGGGUAUUUCUUCCUUGGCCUUUAUAUAGUUCUUUGAACUUAGUGCAUGGUUAUUAUUUGAUGGAUUAGGCUAUUUUAUCUUAAAUCGUGUUCGUUUGUUGUUUUUCCUGCUUGAUACUUAUGUUUGAUCUUUGAGGUGAUCUAAUUAUAUCAUAUACGAUCUCGACUUUUGAUAUUCAUACUUUGUUGUGUAAACACAUGUAGAGUAUGUAUUGUAGGGAUGUUUGGUUGAUUAAGUUAACAUGCUGAUUAUGCAUAUCUUUGUUGAUUGUACACAUGGUUGGUAUGUAUUGUAGGAGUCACGUAAUUGACUAUCCGUUUGCAUGUUGUGUUUGUACAUAUGUUUAGUAUUUGCUAUUGAAGGAUACAUGUUGAUUGGACCUAUAUUAUGUGUAUGUGUCUGGUUGUGAUAUUGAAGGUAUCAUGUUGAUUAUAUCUACGUUGUAGAGUGCAUACUGUUGGUCCUUUUGGAGGCCGACAAGAGGGGAGGGGUGAAUUGCCUUGAAAAAAAUAAAUCAACCCUUUCUCGACUUAUAAUUAAAUUAAGAAUACUUGUAAUUAAAAAUAAAAAAACUAAUUAAACAGGAAAUAAACAUAAAGGAGUUACUUGAUUUGCAAUCAGAAGAUUGCUAAUCCAAGGAGAAUGAAGCGCACUAUCUGAAGAUCUUCUUUGGGCAGAGUAGUCUCUUACAACGUUAACAACACACAAGGAAAAGUAGAACAAAACAUAUAUGGAUUACAAGUUGUUGUUCAGCUUCUUGGACCAAUGUUAUAUUUAUAACCUUGGUCGGGCCGCCUGGAAGGAUUCCAGGCGCCUGGAAGGGGAUAAAAUUUUAUUUCUUCU